RNAcentral lists this ribosomal RNA (119 nucleotides) under Oreochromis aureus. Lineage: Eukaryota; Metazoa; Chordata; Actinopteri; Cichliformes; Cichlidae. The record is from RNAcentral.
GCUUACGGCCAUACCACUCUGAACACGCCCGAUCUCGUCUGAUCUCGGAAGCUAAGCAGGGUCGGGCCUGGUCAGUACUUGGAUGGGAGACCGCCUGGGAAUACCAGGUGCUGUAAGCU